GUGCUCACUUCGGCAGCAAAUAUACUAACGUUGGAAUGAUACAAAGAAGAUUAGCAUGGCUCCUGAGCAAGGAUUAUAUGCAAAUUCAUGAAGUAUUCCAUAUUUUU
Molecule: small nuclear RNA, 107 nt
Organism: Suncus etruscus (white-toothed pygmy shrew)
Lineage: Eukaryota; Metazoa; Chordata; Mammalia; Eulipotyphla; Soricidae
Source: RefSeq, a predicted model, not a curated record